RNAcentral lists this ribosomal RNA (253 nucleotides) under uncultured bacterium. Its description in RNAcentral is "partial 16S ribosomal RNA". It matches the Rfam family "Bacterial small subunit ribosomal RNA", at positions 524 to 776 of the family's 1533-position model. The record is from RNAcentral.
UACGAAGGGGGCUAGCGUUGCUCGGAAUGACUGGACGUAAAGGGCGCGUAGGCGGUUCGUACAGUCAGACGUGAAAUUCCCGGGCUCAACCUGGGGGCUGCGUUUGAUACGUGCGGGCUUGAGUUCGGAAGAGGGUUGUGGAAUUCCCAGUGUAGAGGUGAAAUUCGUAGAUAUUGGGAAGAACACCGGUGGCGAAGGCGGCGACCUGGUCCGAUACUGACGCUGAGGCGCGAAAGCGUGGGGAGCAAACAGG